GCUACCCAGCAAUGGGNUGCGAAUCUCGAAAGCCUGUCUCAGUUCGGAUUGGAGGCUGAAACCCGCCUCCAUGAAGUUGGAUUCGCUAGUAAUCGCGCAUCAGCCAUGGCGCGGUGAAUACGUUCCCGGGCCUUGUACACACCGCCCGUCAAGCCAUGGGAGCCGGGGGUGCCUGAAGUUCGUGACCGCAAGGAGCGACCUAGGGCAAAACUGGUGACUGGGGCUAAGUCGUAACAAGGUAAC
This 243-nucleotide ribosomal RNA is filed under the name uncultured bacterium. RNAcentral's name for it is "partial 16S ribosomal RNA". It matches the Rfam family "Bacterial small subunit ribosomal RNA", at positions 1249 to 1500 of the family's 1533-position model. The record is from RNAcentral.